GAUGAACGCUGGCGGCGUGCCUAACACAUGCAAGUCGAACGGAAAGGCCCUGCUCUUGUGGGGUGCUCGUGUGGCGAACGGGUGAGUAACACGUGUGUAACCUGCCCUUGACUUUGGGAUAACUUCAGGAAAAUGGGGAUAAUACCGGAUAGGAGCUCCUGCUGCAUGGGGGGGGUUGGAAAGUUUCGGCGGUUGGGGAUGGACUCGCGGCUUAUCAGCUGGUUGGUGGGGUAGUGGCUUACCAAGGCUUUGACGGGUAGCCGGCCUGAGAGGGUGACCGGCCACAAUGGGACUGAGAUACGGCCCAGACUCGUACGGGAGGCAGCAGUGGAGAGUAUUGCACAAUGGGCGGAAGCCUGAUGCAGCGACGCCGCGUGCGGGAUGACGGCCUUCGGGUUGUAAACCGCUUUCGCCUGUGACGAAGCGUGCGUGACGGUAAUGGGUAAAGAAGCACCGGCUAACUACGUG
Molecule: ribosomal RNA, 468 nt
Filed under: uncultured bacterium
Lineage: Bacteria
Description: partial 16S ribosomal RNA
Rfam family: Bacterial small subunit ribosomal RNA
Source: RNAcentral